Culex pipiens (northern house mosquito) is the source of this 69-nucleotide non-coding RNA. The record is from Rfam. NCBI's taxonomy places the organism in Eukaryota, Metazoa, Arthropoda, Insecta, Diptera, Culicidae.
GCGUGGCCGAAUGGUAACGCUGUCCGCUUUGUAAGCGGAUGAUUCUGGGUUCGAUUCCCAUCUGCUGCA